GGGGCCGUAGUCUAGUUUGGUCUAGGAUACCUGAGCAUUUCGCGCAGGCGAUCGUGAGUUCAAAUCUCACCGGCCCCACCA
This 81-nucleotide transfer RNA is filed under the name Nitrososphaerota archaeon. RNAcentral's name for it is "Thaumarchaeota archaeon tRNA-Glu". It matches the Rfam family "tRNA". Rfam says of the family: Transfer RNA (tRNA) molecules are approximately 80 nucleotides in length. Their secondary structure includes four short double-helical elements and three loops (D, anti-codon, and T loops). Lineage: Archaea; Thermoproteati; Nitrososphaerota. The record is from RNAcentral.